GUGAGUCAUCGAAUCUUUGAACGCACAUUGCGCCCGCCAGCAUUCUGGCGGGCAUGCCUGUCCGAGCGUCAUUCCAACCCUCAGGGCCCCCUAGGGGGACCUGGUGUUGGGGGCCGGCCGCCCGCGCCGCCCCCGAAAUGCAGUGGCGACCUCGCCGCAGCCUCCCCUGCGUAGUAAGCACAACCUCGCACCGGAGCGCGGAGACGGUCACGCCGUAAAACGCCCAACUUUCUCAAGAGUUGACCUCGGAUCAGGUAGGAAUACCCGCUGAACUUAAGCAUAUCAAUAAGCGGAGGA
This 297-nucleotide unclassified non-coding RNA is filed under the name Tolypocladium sp. Its description in RNAcentral is "partial contains 5.8S ribosomal RNA, internal transcribed spacer 2, and large subunit ribosomal RNA". The stretch from base 1 to 71 matches the Rfam family "5.8S ribosomal RNA", at positions 84 to 154 of the family's 154-position model. The record is from RNAcentral. Lineage: Eukaryota; Fungi; Ascomycota; Sordariomycetes; Hypocreales; Ophiocordycipitaceae.